GACGAACGCUGGCGGCGUGCCUAAUACAUGCAAGUCGAACGCAGUGGGGACGGGUGUGUACCACGUUGGUAACCUCCCCAUCAGAGGGGAUAACACUUGGAAACAGGUUCUAAACCGAUACUGAUGGAUGGACCCGCAGUGCAUUAGCUAGUUGGUGAGGUAACGGCUCACCAAGGCCACGAUGCAUAGCCGACCUGAGAGGGUAUUCGGCCACAAUGGGACUGAGACACGGCCAAGACGCCUCCGGGAGGCAGCAGUAGGGAAUCUGCGGAAAUGGACGAAAGUCUGACCGAGCAACGCCGCGGGAGUGAAGAAGGUUUUCGGAUCGUAAAACUCUGUUGUUAGAGAAGCGGUAUCUAACCAGAAAGCCACGGCUAACUACGUGCCAGCAGCCGCGGUAAUUC
This 404-nucleotide ribosomal RNA is filed under the name uncultured bacterium. RNAcentral's name for it is "partial 16S ribosomal RNA". It matches the Rfam family "Bacterial small subunit ribosomal RNA", at positions 28 to 526 of the family's 1533-position model. The record is from RNAcentral.